UACGCAGGGUGCAAGCGUUGUUCGGAUUCAUUGGGUUUAAAGCGCACGUAGGCGGCCUGAUAAGUCAGGGGUGAAAACGCGCGGCUGAACCUGGGACCCGCCAUUGAUACUGAUAGUCUUGAGUGCGACAGAGGGGGUUGGAAUGCGUAGUGUAGAGGUGAAAUUCUUAGAUAUCAGGAAGAACACCAAUUGCGAAGGCAGCUGCCUGUGUCGUAACUGACGCUGAGGCACGAAAGCGUGGGGAGCAAACAGG
RNAcentral lists this ribosomal RNA (253 nucleotides) under uncultured bacterium. RNAcentral describes it as "partial 16S ribosomal RNA". It matches the Rfam family "Bacterial small subunit ribosomal RNA", at positions 524 to 776 of the family's 1533-position model. The record is from RNAcentral.